UUUAUAAAAACUGAGGACAAAACGCGGAAGAUUUAUGGACCCUCAGGGGUCCAUAAAUCAAAACGCGCUAUGCGCGUUUACAAUAUUACCGUUGAAAUAACCAAAAAGACCGAAAUACCCAGCUAUUUCUCUCACGCCCCUCAUCUCUCAUCUCUGCUCUCCCUUCGCAUUUGACGCCUCCAUCUCUUCUCUCUGCUUGCUCUGCCCUCUUCGUACCAAAAACACUGAUCUGCUACCAAAAACCAGG
Quercus robur (English oak) is the source of this 247-nucleotide long non-coding RNA. RefSeq lists it as uncharacterized. Lineage: Eukaryota; Viridiplantae; Streptophyta; Magnoliopsida; Fagales; Fagaceae. The transcript is spliced from 2 exons. The record is from RefSeq and is a predicted model, not a curated record.